This 164-nucleotide small nuclear RNA is filed under the name Microcebus murinus (gray mouse lemur). RNAcentral's name for it is "U1 spliceosomal RNA (ENSMICG00000025312.3)". It matches the Rfam family "U1 spliceosomal RNA". From Rfam's summary of the family: U1 is a small nuclear RNA (snRNA) component of the spliceosome (involved in pre-mRNA splicing). Its 5' end forms complementary base pairs with the 5' splice junction, thus defining the 5' donor site of an intron. There are significant differences in sequence and secondary structure between metazoan and yeast U1 snRNAs, the latter being much longer (568 nucleotides as compared to 164 nucleotides in human). Lineage: Eukaryota; Metazoa; Chordata; Mammalia; Primates; Cheirogaleidae. The record is from RNAcentral.
CUACUUACUCGGCAGGGGAGACAGCAGGACACAAGGGCAUCACAGUUUUCCCAGGGCCAGCUCACCCACUGCCCUCCAGAUGUGCUCACCCCUGUGAUUUCCCCGAAUGUGGGAAACUCCGCUCUGUGAUUGGUGGCAGUGGGGUAUGUGGGUGCUUUCCCCUG